This 31-nucleotide non-coding RNA is filed under the name uncultured Geminigera. Lineage: Eukaryota; Cryptophyceae; Pyrenomonadales; Geminigeraceae. The record is from RNAcentral.
CAGGAGCGGAAGGCAGCAGCGCUCGCAACGC